GAUGAAGAACGUAGCGAAAUGCGAUAAGUAAUGUGAAUUGCAGAAUUCAGUGAAUCAUCGAAUCUUUGAACGCACAUUGCGCCCGCCAGUAUUCUGGCGGGCAUGCCUGUUCGAGCGUCAUUUCAACCAUCAAGCCCCCGGCUUGUGUUGGGGACCUGCGGCUGCCGCAGGCCCUGAAAACCAGUGGCGGGCUCGCUAGUCACUCCGAGCGUAGUAAUACAUCCCGCUCAGGGCGUGCUGCGGGUUCCGGCCGUUAAAAAGCCUUAUUUACCCAAGGUUGACCUCGGAUCAGGUAGGAAGACCCGCUGAACUUAAGCAUAUCAAUAAGCGGAGGA
Molecule: unclassified non-coding RNA, 335 nt
Filed under: soil metagenome
Description: partial contains 5.8S ribosomal RNA, internal transcribed spacer 2, and large subunit ribosomal RNA
Rfam family: 5.8S ribosomal RNA (bases 1-120)
Source: RNAcentral